CCCGAAGAAGGAUCAUAAUCUUAGUACCUGAUUCUUACCAAGCCUAAGCACUCUUGUCAUUGAGUGGGCAAAGAUCCUGCGGCAACUACCCACCUUGCUGCCCGCGAGGUGAGUCUCGCUCAGGGCACCACCCAACCCACGGUUCGUUUCCUCAACUUUCUUAGUGAGGUCCACCAUCUUCUCAUGGAGUAGCUCAGGGGUAGACCGGUUUAGCAGGUCAAGUUAAUCCACUAGGAGGAGAUUCGGGACACUCCCUUUGCCACCUGGGAGGGAUAGGCAGUGGAGCUCCUUCUCAACGGAUGUGCCGAGAGCAUCUUCGAGGUAGAUGAUCCUGCCUACGAGGU
This 344-nucleotide long non-coding RNA is filed under the name Linum usitatissimum (flax). RNAcentral describes it as "long non-coding RNA (LUSI_LNC006440)". The record is from RNAcentral. Lineage: Eukaryota; Viridiplantae; Streptophyta; Magnoliopsida; Malpighiales; Linaceae.